Molecule: ribosomal RNA, 465 nt
Filed under: uncultured bacterium
Lineage: Bacteria
Description: partial 16S ribosomal RNA
Rfam family: Bacterial small subunit ribosomal RNA
Source: RNAcentral
CCUACGGGUGGCAGCAGUAGGGAAUUUUCGACAAUGGGCGAAAGCCUGACCGAGCAACGCCGCGUGAGCGAAGAAGGUCUUCGGAUUGUAAAGUUCUGUUAUCGAGGAAGAACGCUGUACGUAUGACAUACCGUCCAACUGACGGUACUCUCUGAGGAAGCCCCGGCUAACUACGUGCCAGCAGCCGCGGUAAUACGUAGGUGGCGAGCGUUAUCCGGAAUCAUUGGGCGUAAAGAGGGAGCAGGCGGCCGGGAGGGUCUCUUGUUAAAAGGCAAUGGCUUAACCAUUGUAAGGCGAAGAAACCGGCAGGCUAGAGUGCGAAAGAGGAGAGUGGAAUUCCAUGUGUAGCGGUGAAAUGCGUAGAUAUAUGGAGGAACACCAGUGGCGAAGGCGACGAGCUGGGAAGAAACAGACGCUGAGGCCCGAAAGCGUGGGGAGCAAAUAGGAUUAGAUACCCUAGUAGUC